This 828-nucleotide ribosomal RNA is filed under the name Penicillium sp. CMW8606. Its description in RNAcentral is "SSU rRNA". It matches the Rfam family "Eukaryotic small subunit ribosomal RNA", at positions 74 to 911 of the family's 1831-position model. The record is from RNAcentral. Lineage: Eukaryota; Fungi; Ascomycota; Eurotiomycetes; Eurotiales; Aspergillaceae.
UUAUACAGCGAAACUGCGAAUGGCUCAUUAUAUAAGUUAUCGUUUAUUUGAUAGUACCUUACUACUUGGAUAACCGUGGUAAUUCUAGAGCUAAUACAUGCUAAAAAUCCCGACUUCGGAAGGGAUGUAUUUAUUAGAUUAAAAACCAAUGCCCUUCGGGGCUCUCUGGUGAUUCAUGAUAACUUCUCGAAUCGCAUGGCCUUGCGCCGGCGAUGGUUCAUUCAAAUUUCUUCCCUAUCAACUUUCGAUGUUUGGGUAUUGGCCAAACAUGGUUGCAACGGGUAACGGAGGGUUAGGGCUCGACCCCGGAGAAGGAGCCUGAGAAACGGCUACUACAUCCAAGGAAGGCAGCAGGCGCGCAAAUUACCCAAUCCCGACUCGGGGAGGUAGUGACAAUAAAUACUGAUACAGGGCUCUUUUGGGUCUUGUAAUUGGAAUGAGUACAAUUUAAAUCCCUUAACGAGGAACAAUUGGAGGGCAAGUCUGGUGCCAGCAGCCGCGGUAAUUCCAGCUCCAAUAGCGUAUAUUAAAGUUGUUGUGGUUAAAAAGCUCGUAGUUGAACCUUGGGCCUGGCUGGCCGGUCCGCCUCACCGCGUGUACUGGUCCGGCCGGGCCUUUCCCUCUGUGGAACCCCAUGCCCUUCACUGGGUGUGGCGGGGAAACAGGACUUUUACUUUGAAAAAAUUAGAGUGCUCCAGGCAGGCCUAUGCUCGAAUACAUUAGCAUGGAAUAAUAGAAUAGGACGUGUGGUUCUAUUUUGUUGGUUUCUAGGACCGCCGUAAUGAUUAAUAGGGACAGUCGGGGGCAUCAGUAUUCAAUUGUCAGAGG